AUUAAUUUAUCAUAAAAAUAAUGAAAUUAACUUCGAAUUAAUAAAUAAAUAGUUUAAUU
RNAcentral lists this transfer RNA (59 nucleotides) under Diptera sp. 53 LC-2017. RNAcentral's name for it is "tRNA-Arg". The record is from RNAcentral. Lineage: Eukaryota; Metazoa; Arthropoda; Insecta; Diptera.